This 492-nucleotide ribosomal RNA is filed under the name uncultured bacterium. RNAcentral describes it as "partial 16S ribosomal RNA". It matches the Rfam family "Bacterial small subunit ribosomal RNA", at positions 29 to 507 of the family's 1533-position model. The record is from RNAcentral.
AUUGAACGCUGGCGGCAUGCUUUACACAUGCAAGUCGAGCGGUAACAGGCCUUCGGGUGCUGACGAGUGGCGAACGGGUGCGUAAUGCAUCGGAACGUACCCAGAGGUGGGGGAUAACGCAGCGAAAGCUGUGCUAAUACCGCAUGUGAUCUGAGGAUGAAAGCGGGGGACCGAGCAGCAAUGUUUGGCCUCGCGCCUUUGGAGCGGCCGAUGUCGGAUUAGCUAGUUGGUGGGGUAAAGGCCUACCAAGGCGACGAUCCGUAGCUGGUCUGAGAGGACGACCAGCCACACUGGGACUGAGACACGGCCCAGACUCCUACGGGAGGCAGCAGUGGGGAAUUUUGGACAAUGGGCGCAAGCCUGAUCCAGCAAUGCCGCGUGCGGGAAGAAGGCCUUCGGGUUGUGAACCGCUUUUGGCAGGAACGAAACGGUGUCCGCUAAUACCGGGCGCUAAUGACGGUACCUGCAGAAUAAGCACCGGCUAACUACGUG